RNAcentral lists this ribosomal RNA (261 nucleotides) under uncultured archaeon. RNAcentral's name for it is "partial 16S ribosomal RNA". It matches the Rfam family "Archaeal small subunit ribosomal RNA", at positions 748 to 1008 of the family's 1478-position model. The record is from RNAcentral.
CAGCCGUAAACUAUGCUCGCUAGGUGUCAGGCAUGGCGCGACCGUGUCUGGUGCCGCAGGGAAGCCGUGAAGCGAGCCACCUGGGAAGUACGGCCGCAAGGCUGAAACUUAAGGGAAUUGGCGGGGGAGCACAACAACGGGUGGAGCCUGCGGUUUAAUUGGACUCAACGCCGGACAACUCACCGGGGACGACAGCAAUAUGUAGGCCAGGCUGAAGACCUUGCCUGAAUCGCUGAGAGGAGGUGCAUGGCGUGUGACUGU